This is an RNA transcript of Toxotes jaculatrix (banded archerfish), 1637 nucleotides long. It is a transcript of the gene named chromosome 14 C7orf25 homolog, with no coding region annotated. The record is from RefSeq and is a predicted model, not a curated record. NCBI's taxonomy places the organism in Eukaryota, Metazoa, Chordata, Actinopteri, Toxotidae. The transcript is spliced from 3 exons.
UAUUCUGAAAACCCUCCCGUUCCUGCCAGCGGAGCAGAGGAAGAAGAAACUGUUAGCAUUAGCGUGGUCAGUUAGCAGCUCUCUGCAGAGGAACCCGCGGAUUAAAGUCCACGCGUCACUGCUGCCGUGUGAUGCAGUCAUGUCUGUACAGGUGGUGCUGCAGCAGAGGAUUAGCUCUGCUCAGGCCCUGCUGCAGAGGGCAGAGCAGCUUUUUCCGGGUGUGGAGGGUCACCAGAAGCUCUGCAGCAAACUGCGAGCCGAGCUGCGCUUCCUGCGGCGGGUGGAGGCCGGAGAGCUGCAGGUCAAAGAGUCUCACCUGCACAGCACCAACCUGACUCACCUGACGGCCAUUGUGGAGUCAGCCGGCAGUCUGGAGGACGUGGUGGCUCUGCUGCAUGUCUUCACCUACCAGGACACCUCCGGCCACCGCCGGACACUGGUGGUGGACGUGGUGGCUAACGGAGGACACACUUGGGUGAAGGCGGUGGGUAGGAAGGCGGAGGCUCUGCACAACAUCUGGCAGGGGCGGGGUCAGUAUGGAGACAAGAGCAUCAUCAGGCAGGCGGAGGACUUUCUGCAAGCCAGCCACCAACAGCCUGUCCAUUACCGGCACCCCCACGUCGUCUUCGCCUUCUACAACGGGGUCUCCUCGCCCAUGGCCGACCGCCUCAGGGACAUGGGCGUCUCUGUCCGCGGGGAUAUCGUUGCUGUCAAUGCUGUGGUGAUGGAGGAAGGCAGUGAUGAAGAAGACGAGGAGAGGGAAGAGGGGGAGGAGAGGGAGGUGGCUGAGGAUAACUAUGACCAGGAGGAGCAGCAGGAGGAGGAGGAGGAGGCAUCUGAACUGACCCGGGUGGACCGCAGCACGGUGGUGGCUAGCCUGGCGUUUCCCUCCCAGGUGCAGGUGGAGGAGUGUCAGCGCGUGAACCUGGACAUCACCACGCUCAUCACAUACGUAUCAUCACUGAGUCACGGCCGCUGUCAUUUCACCUUCAGGGAGCCCGUGCUGACCGAGCAGGCGGCCCAGGAGCGCCGCCUGCAGGUGCUGCCGCAGCUCGAUGCUUUCAUGGCGGGGAAGGAGCUGUUCGCCUGCCGUGCCGCUGUCACUGACUUCCAGCUGAUCCUAGACACGCUUGGGGGGCCGGGCGAGAAGGAGCGCGCUCAGAAGCUGCUGGCCCGUCUUCACCUGGUGGACGACCAGCCGUCAGAGCGAACGCUGCGCCUCACGCCCAGUGCAAAGGUUAAUCAACGCUCGCUCACGAUCUUCGGCACCGGAGACUCGCUCAGAGCCGUUACCAUGACGGCAAACAGCCGAUUUGUCAGAGCGGCUGCCAAUCAAGGGGUCCGAUACAGUGUGUUCAUCCACCAACCACGAGCUCUGACCGAAGGCAAGGAGUGGAGGGCCACGCCCAUCUGAGACAGAGAGAGGCUUCCAGUGCAGGGGCUGAUGGGAGCUUGAGUCUGUCAGCUGAAACAGGCGUAACUACGAAGUUCUGAGUUAAAUUUUCACUGAUGAGGUCACAUGGUCUCAGGUCAGCAGGUAGAAGGCAGCUGUGUCCUAACACUACGCUCACAUCACAUGAAAACCGGAAUGAUGAGCAGCUGAGCUUCUGUGUCCAACCUGAUGAAGAGUAGAAAUA